GCUGGGCACGGUGGCUCAUGCCUGUAAUCCCAGCACUCUGGGAGGCUGAGGCGGGUGGAUCACCUGAGGUCAGGAGUUUGAGACCAGUCCCCUGACCAACAUGGUGAAACCCCGUCUCUC
RNAcentral lists this non-coding RNA (120 nucleotides) under Nomascus leucogenys (northern white-cheeked gibbon). The record is from Rfam by way of RNAcentral. Lineage: Eukaryota; Metazoa; Chordata; Mammalia; Primates; Hylobatidae.